CAUUUCAACAUUAAAUAUUAUUUGCUGAACUCCACCAAUAUUUUAGGCCUGCUAAUCAGCAUCUGACGUGACGAAUUGCUGCAUGUUACAUGUAACGUAUGCAAUGGACAAAUGAGCAGCGACACUGUUUCAGAAAAUAAAUAAGUCGUAUUCGUGAAUUUAUUUCACGUGUUUCCCAUUUUGGAAUUGCAAAGUGGUGCGAAAGUACAGCACGGCAAUGACGUCAGCGAGUCACGGUGUUUUGGAUUAACGAUCAUCUGAUUUGGCUUUAGUUGAUUUGGCUUUAGUUGAUUGGCUUUUGUUCCUUAAAUCUAUUAUUUUAAAACCACAGUCGUUCACGAUGCCGAAUAAUUUGUCGUUCUAAACUAGUAUGUGUACAUUUUGGACAAGGGAAGAUGAUUUUCAGCUCGUGUUACGGAUUUCACCCGUUGCAUGCUGGGAAACGUAGUUUUAAUAUUUCAGUGGUUAAGUGUUAUCAAUAUUUACCAGGGGUGUAACGGUACACAAAAAUCUCGGUUCGGUACGUACCUCGGUUUUGAGGUCACGGUUCGGUUCAUUUUCGGUAUAGUACAGUAAGAAAAAAAAAUGCAAAAUAUAAAUGUGCUAGUUGUUUAUGACACACCUUUGUGCUUUCAACAAUAGGAACAUUAGCCUAUAGAAAGCUAGAAUUCUGCUCAAAAAGUAGCGGGUAUUUCAAGAUAAUCCAACAACAAUUUGCCUUUCAGACCCCGCGUAUUGGUCAGCUUUCUUAUCUGAAAGAAAGACGAAAAAAGAAGUUCUGUGCUAAAGAGAAAAGCAAUCCCAAUGACAAGAUUUUAACAUGUAUUUUACAAAUGAAAUGCCUCAAUGAAUCUUUUUUUUUUUUCUUAUGAACGGUUUUCAAAAGCUUUAUUGGUGGAUUUUCUCAAGUUAAAGCGCCACACAGAAAUUAAUCAAUUUAAUUGUGUCAGCAGGAUCUGUGUAUUAUUCUUAUUAUUUAAUUACAGGUGUUUUAGCUCAUUUCAAUUUAUUUUAUUUAAAUAGGCUAUUAUUUAUUUUAUUAUGUGGGUAUAUUUUACAAAUGUGAUGUAGUAUUAAUUUAUAUUGUAUAUUUUAUGUUGCAUAACAUUAGUUCCUAUGUGAAUAUUAGUUCCGACUUGUUUUGUUGUGGUAGGAGGGUUUUGUAUUGAACACGGGGUCGUGUUGGUUAUUAUUAUAGCAGAGAAGACAGCAGUAAAUCAACAAAGGCAAGUCAACUGUGCCCCGAUCUACCACUCAAGAGAUCUGAUGGACUCAAAAAGUGGGUUACGAUUGCAUAUUAGUUUGAAAAUUGGCCGGAUCCACCGUAUUUUUACACGGGUGACUUCUGGUCUGCCCGAUCCUAGCUACCGGUAGUAGUAUUGACGCAGGAGGGUCGUGUUUCGCGUCAAAUAAUAAACGCUGACGUUCUUUUCGCGUGCAUCGUGUUGAGCCGCUUCUGGGACGCGUCUAACACGCGGCCGCACUGCGACUAGUGUGCAUUGGCUGAUUGACUUAAAUGGCCGCGGUUUAUUGCGUUGUCGCGGCGGCCACGUUGUUGCGCCGUUGACGUUUCUUACUGUCCUACCGUGUUGGUCCCCAUUAUAGUAGAGAAGACGGAGUAAAUAUAAUCUACACAAAGAAACUGUAACCAGAUCGACUCACAGCCUCGAAAAGUAAGGGUUACAUUACGUCAGAAACUCGUUUGGUACGCCUCCGUUCCGAACCGAGCACCACGUAACGAAACGGUUCAAUACAAAUACAUGUACCGUUACACCCUUAAUAUUUACCAGUUUAAUUCUUUCUGUUACGUGAAUAAGAUUGCUUCAUUGAAAUGUAAGUAAAUGAAUCUGUUUCUGUAAAUACAUUGCUUAAAUAGUCAAUUUUAUUUUUCUCAUGAACAUUUCAUAUUUUUCUGUCCGAAAAAUCUCAGGAAGAUUGAUUUUUAAAAAAAAACAAAAAACAAAUUUUACAGCACAAUGAAUGUGAGAAAAGCGGAGAAAAUUGUUCUGAGUGUGGAGCAAGCGGAAGGCGUUGGUGCUCGUGUUCGCAGAAGCAUUGGAAGAAAAGAGUUGCAAAACUUGGAUCCUUUUCUCAUGCUGGAUGAGUUUCGAGUGUGCAAACCAGCAGGUUUUCCAGACCACCCUCACAGAGGGUUCGAGACGGUAACAUACGUGUUGGAAGGUGUCAUAGCACAUGAAGACUUUUGUGGCCAUUCAGGGCGACUACAACCUGGAGAUCUGCAAUGGAUGACUGCAGGACGCGGAGUGGUUCAUGCCGAGAUGCCCAUGUCCGAGGAACCCUUGGUGGGUUUGCAGCUGUGGGUGAACCUGUCCAGGCAAAACAAGAUGGUUGAACCCGCUUACCAGGAGCUGCGGAGCUCUGAGAUCCCCAAAGUCAAUCAGGAAGGGGUGACUGUGGCUGUAAUUUCUGGAGAGGCCCUCGGAAAAAAGUCCAGGGUCUUCACAAGGACACCGACCAUGUAUUUGGAUUUUAAGAUGAAGAAAGGAGCUCAGCAUGUGCAGCAUGUCCCUUCGGGUAAAUAUUUGAAUACAGUUGUAUGGAAGAGGAUUGGUUUUUGGAAUCAUCAGGAUGGAGUGCCUUCAUUUACACCCUAUCAGGUUCCGUUCAUGUCGGCCCCGAAGAGGCACAGCAGAAGGUGGAACCCCAUCACACAGUAGUUUUUGGAGAUGGAGACUGUGUUCAAUUUGAAAACAAGAGUUCCGACAUUUCGCAUUUUGUCCUGAUCGCUGGAGAACCACUGAACGAACCCGUGGUGAAACACGGUCCGUUUGUCAUGAACACACAAGCAGAGAUUAACCAAGCUAUCAGCGAUUACAGAAACGCUCAAAAUGGAUUUGAG
This is an RNA transcript of Corythoichthys intestinalis (scribbled pipefish), 2860 nucleotides long. It is a transcript of the gene named pirin, with no coding region annotated. Lineage: Eukaryota; Metazoa; Chordata; Actinopteri; Syngnathiformes; Syngnathidae. The record is from RefSeq and is a predicted model, not a curated record. The transcript has 9 exons.